This 73-nucleotide transfer RNA is filed under the name Bos taurus (domestic cattle). It matches the Rfam family "tRNA". From Rfam's summary of the family: Transfer RNA (tRNA) molecules are approximately 80 nucleotides in length. Lineage: Eukaryota; Metazoa; Chordata; Mammalia; Artiodactyla; Bovidae. RNAcentral also lists the same sequence under 4 other names. The record is from Rfam by way of RNAcentral.
UCUCUGGCAGUCCAGUGGUUAAGAUUCUGCACUUCCACUGCAGAGGGCAAGGGUUCGAUCCCUGGUCAGGGAA